AGUGAACGCUGGCGGUAGGCCUAACACAUGCAAGUCGAGCGGCAGCACAGUAAGAGCUUGCUCUUACGGGUGGCGAGUGGCGGACGGGUGAGGAAUACAUCGGAAUCUACUUUUUCGUGGGGGAUAACGUAGGGAAACUUACGCUAAUACCGCAUACGACCUACGGGUGAAAGCAGGGGAUCUUCGGACCUUGCGCGAUUGAAUGAGCCGAUGUCGGAUUAGCUAGUUGGCGGGGUAAAGGCCCACCAAGGCGACGAUCCGUAGCUGGUCUGAGAGGAUGAUCAGCCACACUGGAACUGAGACACGGUCCAGACUCCUACGGGAGGCAGCAGUGGGGAAUAUUGGACAAUGGGCGCAAGCCUGAUCCAGCCAUACCGCGUGGGUGAAGAAGGCCUUCGGGUUGUAAAGCCCUUUUGUCGGGAAAGAAAAGCAGCAGGUUAAUACCCCGCUGUUCUGACGGUACCCAAAGAAUAAGCACCGGCUAACUUCGUG
This 492-nucleotide ribosomal RNA is filed under the name uncultured bacterium. Its description in RNAcentral is "partial 16S ribosomal RNA". It matches the Rfam family "Bacterial small subunit ribosomal RNA", at positions 29 to 507 of the family's 1533-position model. The record is from RNAcentral.